GACAGAGGGCUCAAGCGUUGUUCGGAUUCACUGGGCGUAAAGGGUGCGUAGGUGGCGGGGCAAGUCUGAUGUGAAAUCUCCGAGCUUAACUCGGAAACUGCAUCGGAUACUGCUUUGCUCGAGGGUUGGAGGGGGGACUGGAAUACUUGGUGUAGCAGUGAAAUGCGUAGAUAUCAAGUGGAACACCAGUGGCGAAGGCGAGUCCCUGGACAACUCCUGACACUGAGGCACGAAAGCUAGGGGAGCAAACAGG
RNAcentral lists this ribosomal RNA (253 nucleotides) under uncultured bacterium. RNAcentral's name for it is "partial 16S ribosomal RNA". It matches the Rfam family "Bacterial small subunit ribosomal RNA", at positions 524 to 776 of the family's 1533-position model. The record is from RNAcentral.